ACUUACUGCCGAGCCUGAUCAGCCAUGCCGCGUGUGUGAAGAAGGUCUUCGGAUUGUAAAGCACUUUAAGUUGGGAGGAAGGGCAGUAAGUUAAUACCUUGCUGUUUUGACGUUACCGACAGAAUAAGCACCGGCUAACUCUGUGCCAGCAGCCGCGGUAAUUA
Molecule: ribosomal RNA, 164 nt
Filed under: uncultured Pseudomonas sp.
Lineage: Bacteria; Pseudomonadati; Pseudomonadota; Gammaproteobacteria; Pseudomonadales; Pseudomonadaceae
Description: partial 16S ribosomal RNA
Rfam family: Bacterial small subunit ribosomal RNA
Source: RNAcentral